CGAUCUGUGAAAGACUUGGAUGGCCGA
This 27-nucleotide non-coding RNA is filed under the name Rattus norvegicus (Norway rat). The record is from RNAcentral. Lineage: Eukaryota; Metazoa; Chordata; Mammalia; Rodentia; Muridae.